UCGGGACGCCCAGCUUUGAGCGCAAGUCUCUCCGCUGCAGCUACCACAACUGACUGACUGACAGAACGAAGGCUGUUCUCCAGCCCAACGCUAAGAAAACUUGGGCCGAAAACAGAGAGUGGAGAUGCGAAGAGGUCCAUCCAGAGGACAACACGAAUGAGAGCAACUGGUCCUCCUUAGAAUUCUUGAGCAAGGAGAGAACGGUCACACUUAAAUUGUCCUCUCUUGGUGGGUAAAACCUACUUUGCGUUAAACAGUGCGACUCAUAUUGGGAAAGGGUGAAGGCAGAAACAGAAAGACAGUCCAGUCAAAAGCGAACACCAAACAGACAACACAAAAAGAUGUCCUUAGUCGCACUGUAUCACUUCCACACCCUGGCUCCUCACUUUCAUUGUGUGAGUCAAC
Alosa alosa (allis shad) is the source of this 405-nucleotide long non-coding RNA. RefSeq lists it as uncharacterized. The record is from RefSeq and is a predicted model, not a curated record. The transcript has 3 exons. Lineage: Eukaryota; Metazoa; Chordata; Actinopteri; Clupeiformes; Clupeidae.